Molecule: long non-coding RNA, 706 nt
Filed under: Rattus norvegicus (Norway rat)
Lineage: Eukaryota; Metazoa; Chordata; Mammalia; Rodentia; Muridae
Description: long non-coding RNA NONRATT025081
Source: RNAcentral
GACAAGCAGUGUACUACACCUGUGAUUUUGUUUUCACAUUAGGGAUAAUGCAUAAGGAAUUAAUCUUCAUAUAUAUCAUGAUCCCUGAUGCUUGGGAGAAAAGUAUUUAACUGCCCAUAUUAUGUAUUUUACUUAUAUUAUGCAAAGGGGGAAACUGCAAAGUAAUUGCACGUGUAAUCUUGGGGUUUUCACAUUCGUAGGUAUUCAUUGUGAGUAGGUUUAAGAAAAAAACACUUUAAGUGAAAUUGGAAUUUCCGAUGGGAUAGUAUAGAUGUUGUUUUUAUAUUUUUUAAAAAGCCAGUAUACUAAAAUUAAAAAAGGGUAGGGCUGUCUUUUAGUUUGUUUUUCUUUUACAAUUCUUAAUGUUCGGAAUUGAUGUGUUCUGUUAGCACCAGCUGUCUUGAUGCAUUUGUUAAGACCAGUUAGCAUUGAGGUGACAUGCGGGCUAAUAGUGGCAAACUAUAGAAGUAGUCUGAACAGACAUGACAGGAAAACAAUGUACCUAUCUCAUCUUGAGCAGUUUUAUAAAGUACAUGUUAUCAUCUCCAUUUUCCAAAUGAGGAAAUAAAUAGAGUUUAACAAAGUUACACAACUUAUCCGUUACGUACUGGUUAGUUCUUGAGCCAGACCUAGAGUCCUCCUCCGACUCUCCUCUUUUCACCAUGCAAUAUACAAGUAAUAAAAUAUUACACAAAUGAACUAUAAA